Molecule: long non-coding RNA, 493 nt
Filed under: Bos taurus (domestic cattle)
Lineage: Eukaryota; Metazoa; Chordata; Mammalia; Artiodactyla; Bovidae
Description: long non-coding RNA NONBTAT023996
Source: RNAcentral
GGGGAGCAGCCAGGGCCUCAUGAGCUGGUGCCUCAGCGCCCGUAAUGGUUUGUCAGGGGUCAGGUUGAUUAACUGAGGUGGGAUUCCAGGGGUGGGUUGAGGCCCUCACUUCUCAUGGGAGUGACAAGACACAGGAAAACUCUCUUUAUGUUUCCCUGACUCCCAUGAUCUUUACUUCUUUCUUGACUUGCUUUUCCUUUGUCUUUGCAAAACCGGACUUCCCUGUUACUGCUCACAGAUGCGUAUUUUCACCCUUAGGAAAGGCCAUGGCACAAUAGAAGGCGUGGACAAUACUGGCAGGGGAGCUAGAGCCCUCCUGUCUGAGUCCUAUGGAGCCCAGUCCAACCCCCGCGGAAAGAAAGCCUUCCUGAAACAUCCUGUGGUCAUCUCCUCUGUUCCCAGUGGCUAAAGCACCCCGAGGGCCCUCCCUGAGUCACCCCAACUUUGGGUGCUCCAGGUCAAUGGACAUCAGCCGUUUUCUCAGUUGCGUGAA